GCCGUAGCAAAAUACGCGACGAACCGGGCUAUCGCAAUCCUGGUAGCGGUGACCAGUUGCUUCACAAUUCCAGCACACUAAAUUAAGGGCGGCUAUUCCCAUUUCUUCGUCAUCCGAUACCUCGGUUUCUGUUUCACACUCUACCUGACAUUGAACUGCAUUGACAGAUCGGCGCGGCAUCGGCACUGGACGAGAUUUUGGUAAAGCGUGAUUUCCUACCGUUUGUAGGAAGAUCUCUCGAGUUCUGACAAAAUGCCGAAGUUUUGAUAUGCUGAGUAUUUCCUCAUAUAGGAGUUCAUGCAUGCUCUAAGAGAGAAGAUUCCGACAUGGGAAUAGAGAGCUUAUCCGCAAGAGAAAUGAUUGACUCGUAGAACUCGUCAAAACUUUCUCCAUCUUUUUGUUUGCGUCUAUCGAUGCUCGCUCUUAUCUGUAGGUCGGUUCGUUCGUCCUUGAAUUGACUUUUAAGAGCUUGGCAAAGGCCCUCCCAUUGUACCAUAGGUACACUUUUGUGGUACCGCCAAAACCAUUCGCUUGCGGUUCCUUCAAAAAGGUUGCUGGCAUACCGCGCAAGCAAUUCGAAAUUGCCCUGCAGCGUUUGGGAUGUCAAUGCCUCGACCCGAUAGAUAAAAUCGUCGACGCCUAAAACAGAUUUACCAGAAAAUCGAAGUUUCCAAUUAAAAAUAAUUUGGCUAAUUCGAUCUGGGCGCAAGUCCGAAC
Molecule: long non-coding RNA, 717 nt
Filed under: Drosophila guanche
Lineage: Eukaryota; Metazoa; Arthropoda; Insecta; Diptera; Drosophilidae
Source: RNAcentral